GAUGAACGCUGGCGGCGUGCCUAAUACAUGCAAGUCGAGCGAACAGACGAGGAGCUUGCUCCUCUGACGUUAGCGGCGGACGGGUGAGUAACACGUGGAUAACCUACCUAUAUGACUGGGAUAACUUCGGGAAACCGGAGCUAAUACCGGAUAAUAUAUUGAACCGCAUGGUUCAAUAGUGAAAGUCGGUUUUGCUGUCACUUAUAGAUGGAUCCGCGCCGCAUUAGCUAGUUGGUAAGGUAACGGCUUACCAAGGCAACGAUGCGUAGCCGACCUGAGAGGGUGAUCGGCCACACUGGAACUGAGACACGGUCCAGACUCCUACGGGAGGCAGCAGUAGGGAAUCUUCCGCAAUGGGCGAAAGCCUGACGGAGCAACGCCGCGUGAGUGAUGAAGGUCUUCGGAUCGUAAAACUCUGUUAUUAGGGAAGAACAAAUGUGUAAGUAACUAUGCACGUCUUGACGGUACCUAAUCAGAAAGCCACGGCUAACUACGUG
RNAcentral lists this ribosomal RNA (497 nucleotides) under uncultured bacterium. RNAcentral's name for it is "partial 16S ribosomal RNA". It matches the Rfam family "Bacterial small subunit ribosomal RNA", at positions 28 to 507 of the family's 1533-position model. The record is from RNAcentral.